GGCAACAUGGCCGAGCGGUUAUGGCGGUGGAUUCAAGAGCCUUACUCUUCUUCUCUUCUAAAAGAGAAUCCCACUCUCGAAAGAGGCCGGGGUUCGAAUCCCCGUGUUGUCA
Hypoxylon sp. NC1633 is the source of this 112-nucleotide non-coding RNA. NCBI's taxonomy places the organism in Eukaryota, Fungi, Ascomycota, Sordariomycetes, Xylariales, Hypoxylaceae. The record is from the annotation of a GenBank genome assembly.